RNAcentral lists this non-coding RNA (28 nucleotides) under Mus musculus (house mouse). The record is from RNAcentral. Lineage: Eukaryota; Metazoa; Chordata; Mammalia; Rodentia; Muridae.
UAGCAAUGCAUUGUCCUUUGCUUCCUGG